CGCGUAUGCAACCUACCUUUUACAGAGGGAUAGCCCAGAGAAAUUUUGGGAUUAACACCUCAUAGUAUUAUUGAUUGGCAUCGACUAAUAAUUAAAACUACGGUGGUAAAAGAUGGGCAUGCGUUCUAUUAGCUAGUUGGUAUGGUAACGGCAUACCAAGGCGACGAUAGAUAGGGGGCCCUGAGAGGGGGAUCCCCCACACUGGUACUGAGACACGGACCAGACUCCUACGGGAGGCAGCAGUGAGGAAUAUUGGUCAAUGGAGGGAACUCUGAACCAGCCAUGCCGCGUGCAGGAUGA
RNAcentral lists this ribosomal RNA (300 nucleotides) under uncultured Cryomorphaceae bacterium. Its description in RNAcentral is "bacterial SSU rRNA". It matches the Rfam family "Bacterial small subunit ribosomal RNA", at positions 114 to 411 of the family's 1533-position model. Lineage: Bacteria; Pseudomonadati; Bacteroidota; Flavobacteriia; Flavobacteriales; Cryomorphaceae. The record is from RNAcentral.